Long non-coding RNA from Suncus etruscus (white-toothed pygmy shrew), 792 nucleotides. RefSeq lists it as uncharacterized. The record is from RefSeq and is a predicted model, not a curated record. Lineage: Eukaryota; Metazoa; Chordata; Mammalia; Eulipotyphla; Soricidae. The transcript has 3 exons.
AUUCCCAACUUUGCAAGUGUGUAAGGAAUUUGAAGUCCCCACUUUGUUCAUAUAACAAAAAACUAAGCAAACUAACACAACAUUAAUUCUUCUUAGGUCUAGCAGAGAAGUGAUGUCAUAGAGCAAAUCACUGCCUCUGAAAUGGAGCAAGAGAAAGCAAAGAUAGAUAAUACAACUUACCUAAGCAGAAAGCAAUGCCCUAGGAAUGAAUUUUGAAGUAUAAUUGGCAAAUUGCUGAAAGACUAUGUGGACAAAUCAGUGCAGAAAUAAAAGAGUCCCUAAAAGAUGACAGAACUUUAUAAAGACAGGAUGGCUGGUCAGCUAGCUCCAGCCCUGAGGUCAUCACUCAUCAAGAGGAGCUAAUCCCAAGGACAGCAGGAUCUGCUUCUUCUCUUGAAUUUCAGAGUGAGAAACCCAUCAGGCCACUAAACAGGAAUGCCAAGGAGGAGCAUGAAGCACACUGAGAAGAGUGGAUGAAGAGUAUGUAGAAGAAUUCAAAAGCAUUUGCUGGUGGUGCCUAUGGAGCCACUGAGUCUGCCUAUUUGACUGCAGCCACCUGUCCCAGAGCUGCUUAGAUGUAAAUGUGAUAUCAAUUUAGAUGGUAUUCUGUGCUUGAACUUAGAGUGAAAAUAAUCAUGGCAUCAGAUAGGUCCGUGGUUGAACAGUGAUAAUGUUCCUUCUUUGAGGUCUGUGCUUGCAAAACUUUAAAAAUCUCUUUCAGUCUCCAUCUUUUUGUCUGUAAAAAAAGAACACAUGCUAACAGAAAAGAAUAAAUACAAUGAUGUUUGCAAA